UUGAACGCUGGCGGCAGGCCUAACCCAUGCAAGUCGCACGGUAACAGGAAGAAGCUUGCUUCUUUGCUGACGCGUGGCGGCCGGGUGAGUAAUGUCUGGGAAACUGCCUGAUGGAGGGGGAUAACUACUGGAAACGGUAGCUAAUACCGCAUAACGUCGCAAGACCAAAGAGGGGGACCUUCGGGCCUCUUGCCAUCGGAUGUGCCCAGAUGGGAUUAGCUAGUAGGUGGGGUAACGGCUCACCUAGGCGACGAUCCCUAGCUGGUCUGAGAGGAUGACCAGCCACACUGGAACUGAGACACGGUCCAGACUCCUACGGGAGGCAGCAGUGGGGAAUAUUGCACAAUGGGCGCAAGCCUGAUGCAGCCAUGCCGCGUGUAUGAAGAAGGCCUUCGGGUUGUAAAGUACUUUCAGCGGGGAGGAAGGGAGUAAAGUUAAUACCUUUGCUCAUUGACGUUACCCGCAGAAGAAGCACCGGCUAACUCCGUG
Molecule: ribosomal RNA, 489 nt
Filed under: uncultured bacterium
Lineage: Bacteria
Description: partial 16S ribosomal RNA
Rfam family: Bacterial small subunit ribosomal RNA
Source: RNAcentral